This 544-nucleotide ribosomal RNA is filed under the name Penicillium sp. NBBC01-30-M1. Its description in RNAcentral is "eukaryotic LSU rRNA". The stretch from base 180 to 332 matches the Rfam family "5.8S ribosomal RNA". RNAcentral also lists the same sequence under 1 other name. The record is from RNAcentral. Lineage: Eukaryota; Fungi; Ascomycota; Eurotiomycetes; Eurotiales; Aspergillaceae.
UUACCGAGUGAGGGCCCUCUGGGUCCAACCUCCCACCCGUGUUUAUUUUACCUUGUUGCUUCGGCGGGCCCGCCUUAACUGGCCGCCGGGGGGCUUACGCCCCCGGGCCCGCGCCCGCCGAAGACACCCUCGAACUCUGUCUGAAGAUUGUAGUCUGAGUGAAAAUAUAAAUUAUUUAAAACUUUCAACAACGGAUCUCUUGGUUCCGGCAUCGAUGAAGAACGCAGCGAAAUGCGAUACGUAAUGUGAAUUGCAAAUUCAGUGAAUCAUCGAGUCUUUGAACGCACAUUGCGCCCCCUGGUAUUCCGGGGGGCAUGCCUGUCCGAGCGUCAUUUCUGCCCUCAAGCACGGCUUGUGUGUUGGGCCCCGUCCUCCGAUCCCGGGGGACGGGCCCGAAAGGCAGCGGCGGCACCGCGUCCGGUCCUCGAGCGUAUGGGGCUUUGUCACCCGCUCUGUAGGCCCGGCCGGCGCUUGCCGAUCAACCCAAAUUUUUAUCCAGGUUGACCUCGGAUCAGGUAGGGAUACCCGCUGAACUUAAGCAUAU